AGCAGAAGCAAUCCUCAAAUUGAUUCUUGCAGACGCAAAAGGACACUCUGUCUCUCUUCUUACACCGAUUCUGUUCCUCUGUGUUUCAUUCCUAUUUGACAGACGCUCAGAGACGAAGAGUUCUCCUCUCCUCUCUUGAACGAGCGAAAAGUGAGAGGAGAAUGGGAGAAAUUCGAAUCAUAGGAGGCGAAUUAGGUGGUAUUUUACGUUUCAGUUUUCGUUCUAUCGAAAUCAAAGCUCGGAUGUUUGUGGAUUUAUAGAGCGUUGAUGCCGUCGUUAGUACUCUCUUCAUGUUUCUUUUACGAUAUCUGGAUUGGCAUAAAGGGAAGUGAUUACUUAUGCUCUUAAUUCUGGUAGAGUCUUUUCUUUCACGUUUUGGUGCGUUUUUGGUGCUAAUUGACUGUUGAACUCUUUCCUUACGGAAAAAAGACUCUUCUCUAUGGAUGGGAAUUAGCAUAUUCCAGUUUGCUUAAACUGAGGGACUGCAUUUGAUUUAAAUUUCAAUUCUAUUAUCAGAUAGUAAUAGGAAUAACAUACAAAUAGAUAAUGAUGUGAACGAAAAAGUUCAUACACCUUUCAAAUUUAUUUUCCUUUUUGACAAUUAGGAAUACAAAUUUAUAAAUAUAGAAUUAAAGCUACGAGCAGAGUUAUUCAAUUAUCCAUAUGUAAGUUACAAUCAAAUUUCAAUACAACAAGUUUGAACCAAA
Molecule: non-coding RNA, 707 nt
Organism: Carica papaya (papaya)
Lineage: Eukaryota; Viridiplantae; Streptophyta; Magnoliopsida; Brassicales; Caricaceae
Source: RefSeq, a predicted model, not a curated record